This 312-nucleotide unclassified non-coding RNA is filed under the name uncultured Bolbitius. RNAcentral's name for it is "sequence contains ITS2". The stretch from base 1 to 52 matches the Rfam family "5.8S ribosomal RNA", at positions 103 to 154 of the family's 154-position model. The record is from RNAcentral. Lineage: Eukaryota; Fungi; Basidiomycota; Agaricomycetes; Agaricales; Bolbitiaceae.
AACGCACCUUGCGCUCCUUGGUAUUCCGAGGAGCAUGCCUGUUUGAGUGUCAUUAAAUUCUCAACCAUCCCAUUUUCUUUUGAACUUGGGCUGUGUUGGAUGUGGGGAUCUGCCAGCGCUUAUUACUUAAGACUUGGCUUCCCUUAAAUGUAUUAGCUAGAGCGCUUCUGUUGACUAGCCGCUAGUGUGAUAAUAUCUACACUGUGACCAAGCCAGCCUUUGAAAUGAAGGAACUCUGCUUCAAAUCGUCUGCUUGCAGACAAUCUAUGACAACUUGACCUCAAAUCAGGUAGGACUACCCGCUGAACUUAA